RNAcentral lists this ribosomal RNA (230 nucleotides) under uncultured bacterium. Its description in RNAcentral is "partial 16S ribosomal RNA". It matches the Rfam family "Bacterial small subunit ribosomal RNA", at positions 563 to 791 of the family's 1533-position model. The record is from RNAcentral.
UAAGCGCGCGUAGGUGGUUUGUUAAGUUGGAUGUGAAAUCCCCGGGCUCAACCUGGGAACUGCAUUCAAAACUGACUGACUAGAGUAUGGUAGAGGGUGGUGGAAUUUCCUGUGUAGCGGUGAAAUGCGUAGAUAUAGGAAGGAACACCAGUGGCGAAGGCGACCACCUGGACUGAUACUGACACUGAGGUGCGAAAGCGUGGGGAGCAAACAGGAUUAGAUACCCCUGU